UAUACGGUAUUAAAAUAUAUAUAAUUGACUAAUAUUAGAGCUAUUGUCAAAUUUAUGGUAAAACUGUAAUUGUUGAUAUGAAAUAUGGUCUUGUAAUGCAUUUGAAGUAAAAAAUGUCUAGAAUUUUACUUCAAGGUUUAUAAAACAUACCAUCUCAGUAAACACUGUUGUAUAUAAUAUGUAUAAAAUUACUGUCUGUUCGUAUAUCACAGCCAAAACUCAAAAACCAGUUUCAAUACAAAAUGGAAAACAUUGUAACACUUAUAUCUAAUAGAAUCGUUCUUAAAGCUUGUUCAUACAACUGAUUCAACUUUCUGUUGUUCAUAUUUAAACGUUUUUAACCCUUCUUGUAACAUCUUACAAGGUCAAGGUCAACCUUUAGUGCAAUCCUUGCUUUAAUUUGAGCACUUUCAUGAAUAUUUGAUAUGUAUAAAUAAGUUAAUCAGUUGAUACAAGCAAGCUUUAAAAGAAUUAAUAUCACAUCAAGCGACCCUGGGGCCAAACAAACAAGUAUAUUAGGUUGUGGGUUACAGUUAAGCGACAAAGUCCAACGGUCGGUUGAAACCACCCUUCCUGUUCAUGUAUUGUCUAUAUUUCCGUUUCAGUACUAAGUGAACAUCUCCUUCAACAUUACCUUCGACUUUCUUACCUUUUGUGGUAUCGAAGCCGCAGAAACCCAUAACCUUCAACAUUUCUUGCUCCUCGGGCGUUUUUCCCUCCAAAUCUGCGGGCGUGACUAUGGGCCGUUCGCCGAAGUUCUUUUUCGGUUUGGGCACGAAUGACGUGGUCGGUGUCGGCGAUAUUGAUCGCGAUCUUCUUCUUCGUGGGGAGGGUGAGCGUCGGCGUUCGGGGGAGCGCCUCCGACGGUCUAGAGAGCGGGAUCGUGACCGGGUCCUAGGCCUUCGCCUCUCGCGGUCCCGGUCGCGGUCCCUGUCCCUUUCCCUGCGGUCACGUCGGUCUUCACGCCGCCGCGGACUCGGCGACCGACCCAUUAAAGCUUCAAGUCAACAGCGUGUAAAAUUUAUAAAAAAAACAAAAAAGAUAACAGUAACACACAACCUAAACGUUCG
This 1070-nucleotide unclassified non-coding RNA is filed under the name Melitaea cinxia (Glanville fritillary). RNAcentral's name for it is "misc RNA ENSMCXG00005000448.1". Lineage: Eukaryota; Metazoa; Arthropoda; Insecta; Lepidoptera; Nymphalidae. The record is from RNAcentral.